Molecule: long non-coding RNA, 376 nt
Organism: Hyalella azteca
Lineage: Eukaryota; Metazoa; Arthropoda; Malacostraca; Amphipoda; Hyalellidae
Exons: 2
Source: RefSeq, a predicted model, not a curated record
AGACUGAGCAACCAGAUUUCAUUGCUGCAAAUCAGUCAGGAAAAUUGAUCCCCUGGAGCAUCAUCGUUUGCAUAGCAUCAGUCCCGACUGGUAUCUUUAUCAAAAGAAGGUCCAAGCAGCGCCUUCAGUAAUUUGAGGCCUAUGUGGGCACCCCCAUGAAUAACCCGCGAACCGGUCGAGCGACGACGCUAUACAAGCCAUCGCCGUCUAUAUGACCAUACUCGUAACUGAAGAAGGAACUCGUCCACAAACUAACACGUAAAGGAAAGAACUCAUCAGCAAAAUAACACGUAAAGAAAGAACUCGUCCACAAACUAACACGUAAAAGAAAGAACUCGUCCACAAACUAACACGUAAAAGAAAGAACUCGUCUGCA